CAAACGACUCUCGGCAACGGAUAUCUCGGCUCAUGCAUCGAUGAAGAACGUAGCAAAAUGCGAUACUUGGUGUGAAUUGCAGAAUCCCGUGAACCAUCGAGUUUUUGAACGCAAGUUGCGCCCGAAGCCKUUUGGCCAAGGGCACGUCUGCCUGGGCGUCACAC
RNAcentral lists this ribosomal RNA (164 nucleotides) under Senecio deltoideus. RNAcentral describes it as "5.8S ribosomal RNA". It matches the Rfam family "5.8S ribosomal RNA". From Rfam's summary of the family: 5.8S ribosomal RNA (5.8S rRNA) is a component of the large subunit of the eukaryotic ribosome. It is transcribed by RNA polymerase I as part of the 45S precursor that also contains 18S and 28S rRNA. Functionally, it is thought that 5.8S rRNA may be involved in ribosome translocation. Lineage: Eukaryota; Viridiplantae; Streptophyta; Magnoliopsida; Asterales; Asteraceae. The record is from RNAcentral.